Molecule: ribosomal RNA, 375 nt
Filed under: Triticum aestivum (bread wheat)
Lineage: Eukaryota; Viridiplantae; Streptophyta; Magnoliopsida; Poales; Poaceae
Description: partial small subunit ribosomal RNA
Source: RNAcentral
AUGGUUCUCAAUGCCCAAAAAGAGAAGCUACUUGUUGGGCUCGCACCGGACUUGAUCGAGGGGGGAGUGGCCAUCUUACAGUAUGCGGAUGACACGGUCAUCUGCUUCGAGCAUGACAAAGAUGCAGCUGUAAACCUUAAACUUCUUCUAUACAUGUUCGAGCUUAUGUCAGGCCUUAAGAUUAACUUCAUGAAAAGUGAGAUCCUCUGUGUUGGGGGAGAUGAUGAGACAAUUGCCUUCUAUUCUGAGUUGUUUAACUACAGCAUUGGGCACUUCCCUAUGAAGUACUUGGCAGUGCCGGUCAGCUUUUCCACAUUACAUAGUCUGGACUGGGAUUUCUUGGACGAGAGAUUCCUUAAGUGUUGUGAAUCCUAG